Gossypium arboreum is the source of this 333-nucleotide long non-coding RNA. RefSeq lists it as uncharacterized. Lineage: Eukaryota; Viridiplantae; Streptophyta; Magnoliopsida; Malvales; Malvaceae. The transcript has 2 exons. The record is from RefSeq and is a predicted model, not a curated record.
UUUCUUAGUGGAGAAACAAACCGAAACAUCCAUGGGAGUUUAAGCAAGCAUUCGGUCAAGGUUGUUUACAAUUGCAUGCUCGUGUGAGUAGCAUCGUGUAGCAAAUGUUCCGACCCACAACUCGUGUGAGCAGACCCAUUUCGUAGCUCGUGUGAACACUAUUGAAAAGGAAAGGUUAUGAUUACAUGAAAAGGCACAAUAUGUGUGAGCAUUCCCGAGUGUCCGAUGAAAUUCUAGAUGGUUCAACGGGUAAGUAAAUGUUAGGAAAGGCAUGUAUAAAAACUUAAUGUUCAUAUGAAAUGGAAAAAUGGAUAUGCAUAUAUGAAAUGAAAA